Molecule: long non-coding RNA, 1088 nt
Organism: Notolabrus celidotus (New Zealand spotty)
Lineage: Eukaryota; Metazoa; Chordata; Actinopteri; Labriformes; Labridae
Exons: 4
Source: RefSeq, a predicted model, not a curated record
GUGCGCACCAAAUGCGCUCGGUUUGCGCAUUCCGGACACGACCUGGUUGAGCUCGAGCCGAUCCUAUUCCUUCAAUCUAUGAGACCAAUAUUAACACACAUGUGCAAACGUAAACACACAUGUACAAACAUCUAAGCUCCGUCGACGAACAACUGGAUUCCGUGCAGAAAUGCAUACAAAGUACACAAACACCCAGGAACUCCAUUGGCUCCACUCGCCUAGUUCACACUCUGAAGGACGCUGACCUGAGGGACGGGGGGAUCAAGAAUGAAAGUGACAUCAGCUGAGGAAAGAGCCAAAAGAAUCGUGCACCUGUUGAUGACUCGAGGGAGAGCGAUGACCAGAGAGAAUGGGACAUGCCAAGUCUCUGGAUCUCUCAGAACACAACCUUUCCAGCACUGAGUAACUCAAGACCUGUGCCAGAGACUCUUUCAUAACCCAGCACUCCCACGACUCUGUGCAACCUGCCAAAAGCCCACCUCAGCUCAUCCAUAUCUGCUCUCACACAGCACGCAAAAAGGAGACAAGAUCGGGCUGUUAACGUACUGAGAAAACUCAUGGUAGAACUCUUCCUAAGGCUCUUUUUAUGAUCUUACAUCACAAACAUUCAUUUCGUCAGGCAACAUGUUGCACCUGUGUGUUUUCAAAGUUCCCUGUACCUGCUCCCUCAUCCGUUUAACUGAGAGCCUUUCCUCACCAUCAGACACAUUCAGCUGAGUCCAAUGAAACUAAGCCCGGCUCAUCAAAUAGUCAGGAGAUUAAAUUGCUCUCCUUUGUAAGUCCUAAGUUUGAUCCAUCAAUUAUUCAAGCCCUGAAAGGGAGCCCCCACACUGGGAAUUUAUUGAACUCAAGAAGGUGCCACAACUCUGAGCUCAGAGGAAAACCUGUCGAUGAACUUUGAGCCUCUGACUGAACCCUAAGGCUUUUUGGCACUCAUAUAAGAGCCGAAAACAAAGAUCAUUAGAAUGCCUCAAACACACACACACACACACACACUGAGAGGUUUAUGAGAGGACAUAAACAGUGGCAUGUACUCAACAAGUCAACCAAACAGAAGGCAAAUAAAAGAUAAACAGGCCAACUCUUAA